Molecule: ribosomal RNA, 253 nt
Filed under: uncultured bacterium
Lineage: Bacteria
Description: partial 16S ribosomal RNA
Rfam family: Bacterial small subunit ribosomal RNA
Source: RNAcentral
UACGUAGGGUGCGAGCGUUGUCCGGAAUUACUGGGCGUAAAGAGCUCGUAGGUGGUUUGUCGCGUUGUCCGUGAAAACUCACAACUCAAUUGUGGGCGUGCGGGCGAUACGGGCAGACUUGAGUACUACAGGGGAGACUGGAAUUCCUGGUGUAGCGGUGGAAUGCGCAGAUAUCAGGAGGAACACCGAUGGCGAAGGCAGGUCUCUGGGCCGAUACUGACGCUGAGGAGCGAAAGCGUGGGGAGCGAACAGG